This 253-nucleotide ribosomal RNA is filed under the name uncultured bacterium. RNAcentral describes it as "partial 16S ribosomal RNA". It matches the Rfam family "Bacterial small subunit ribosomal RNA", at positions 524 to 776 of the family's 1533-position model. The record is from RNAcentral.
UCCGUAGGGUGCAAGCGUUGUCCGGAAUUAUUGGGCGUAAAGAGCUCGUAGGCGGUUCGUCGCGUCGGCUGUGAAAACCCGGAGCUCAACUCCGGGCCUGCAGUCGAUACGGGCGGACUGGAGUGUUGCAGGGGAGACUGGAAUUCCUGGUGUAGCGGUGAAAUGCGCAGAUAUCAGGAGGAACACCGGUGGCGAAGGCGGGUCUCUGGGCAACUACUGACGCUGAGGAGCGAAAGCGUGGGGAGCGAACAGG